Molecule: ribosomal RNA, 308 nt
Filed under: uncultured bacterium
Lineage: Bacteria
Description: partial 16S ribosomal RNA
Rfam family: Bacterial small subunit ribosomal RNA
Source: RNAcentral
GAGACAGCAGUAGCCGCGGUAAUACGUAGGGCGCGAGCGUUGUCCGGAAUCAUUGGGCGUAAAGCGCGUGUAGGCGGCUGAGUAAGUCUGCUGUGAAAUCCCGGAGCUCAACUUCGGAACUGCCUUUGAUACUGGGGAUCUUGAGUUCGAGAGAGGUGAGUGGAACUGCGAGUGUAGAGGUGAAAUUCGUAGAUAUUCGCAAGAACAUCAGUGGCGAAGGCGGCCAUCUGGGACAACACUGACGCUGAGGCACGAAGGCGUGGGGAGCAAACAGGAUUAGAGACCCGCGUAGUCCCUGUCUCUUAUAC